This 468-nucleotide ribosomal RNA is filed under the name uncultured bacterium. Its description in RNAcentral is "partial 16S ribosomal RNA". It matches the Rfam family "Bacterial small subunit ribosomal RNA", at positions 28 to 507 of the family's 1533-position model. The record is from RNAcentral.
GACGAACGCUGGCGGCGUGCUUAACACAUGCAAGUCGAACGGACAGGCCCUGCUUUUGUGGGGUGCUCGUGUGGCGAACGGGUGAGUAACACGUGAGUAACCUGCCCCUGACUUUGGGAUAACUUCAGGAAACUGGGGCUAAUACCGGGUAGGAGCUCCUGCUGCAUGGUGGUGGUUGGAAAGUUUCGGCGGUUGGGGAUGGACUCGCGGCUUAUCAGCUUGUUGGUGGGGUAGUGGCUUACCAAGGCUUUGACGGGUAGCCGGCCUGAGAGGGUGACCGGCCACAUUGGGACUGAGAUACGGCCCAGACGCCUACGGGAGGCAGCAGUGGGGAAUAUUGCACAAUGGGCGGAAGCCUGAUGCAGCAACGCCGCGUGCGGGAUGACGGCCUUCGGGUUGUAAACCGCUUUCGCCUGUGACGAAGCGUGAGUGACGGUAAUGGGUAAAGAAGCACCGGCUAACUACGUG